RNAcentral lists this unclassified non-coding RNA (178 nucleotides) under fungal sp. Its description in RNAcentral is "partial internal transcribed spacer region". Lineage: Eukaryota; Fungi. The record is from RNAcentral.
AAAAGUCGUAACAAGGUUUCCGUAAGACCGUGAGUUAGACUGUAGUUUUUAACGCUACAAUCACACCAUUCCCGCACGGUACGUUUAUACGAAUUCCUGAUUAACUUCAGUUGAGUUUGUAUCGAUGUCGUAUAUUACUAAUACGAAACAACUCUUAGCAACGGAUAUCUUGGUUCUC